UACGUAGGGACCAAGCGUUGUUCGGAUUUAUUGGGUUUAAAGGGUGCGUAGGCGGAUCUUUAAGUCAGUGGUGAAAGCCUGCAGCUUAACUGUAGAACAGCCAUUGAAACUGAAGAUCUUGAAUAUGGUUAAAGUAGGCGGAAUGUAUCGUGUAGCGGUGAAAUGCUUAGAUAUGAUACAGAACACCGAUAGCGAAGGCAGCUUGCUGAACCAUUAUUGACGCUGAGGCACGAAAGCGUGGGGAGCGAACAGG
This 253-nucleotide ribosomal RNA is filed under the name uncultured bacterium. RNAcentral's name for it is "partial 16S ribosomal RNA". It matches the Rfam family "Bacterial small subunit ribosomal RNA", at positions 524 to 776 of the family's 1533-position model. The record is from RNAcentral.